Molecule: long non-coding RNA, 523 nt
Organism: Ictalurus punctatus (channel catfish)
Lineage: Eukaryota; Metazoa; Chordata; Actinopteri; Siluriformes; Ictaluridae
Source: Ensembl
GUGGUGUGGAGUGCGUGGAGAGGACUGGUGGAGGAGGAGGUGGUGUGGAGUAUGUGGAGAUGACUGGUGGAGGAGGAGGUGGUGUGGAGUGUGUGGAGAGGACUGGUGGAGGAGGAGGUGGUGUGGAGUAUGUGGAGAGGACUGGUGGAGGAGGAGGUGGUGUGGAGCGUGUGGAGAGGACUGGUGGAGCAGGAGGAUGGAGCAGAGGGAGAUGAAGGAGCACACGGGGGUUUUCGGGUGUCUAAGUGCUGCGGUUUCUGUGGCGCAUCAAGUUUACGCACCUGAGGACGCGGAACACUGGAUUUGGAAUCCAGCUGAGGCGCAGAACUGCUUCAUGGCGUGUGCUCAGGAGUUCGUUUGAUUGCUCGUUAAGUGUCAAUUACAGAUAAAUAAAUAUGCAUUAAUUAAUAAAUAAGCAACUAUUAAAAAAAGAAGAAGAAAUAAAAAUGUCACAAAAGGCAUUAUGCUUAUAAAUCCUGUAGCUGGAUCUAUCUAUCUAUCUCUCUGUCUAUCUAUCUAUCUA